This 281-nucleotide ribosomal RNA is filed under the name uncultured bacterium. RNAcentral's name for it is "partial 16S ribosomal RNA". It matches the Rfam family "Bacterial small subunit ribosomal RNA", at positions 355 to 655 of the family's 1533-position model. The record is from RNAcentral.
UGGGGAAUAUUGCACAAUGGGCGAAAGCCUGAUGCAGCAACGCCGCGUGAAGGAAGAAGGUCUUCGGAUCGUAAACUUCUGUCCUUGGGGAAGAUAAUGACGGUACCCUUGGAGGAAGCCCCGGCUAACUACGUGCCAGCAGCCGCGGUAAUACGUAGGGGCAAGCGUUAUCCGGAAUUAUUGGGCGUAAAGAGUGCGUAGGUGGUAACCUAAGCAGGGGGUGAAAGGCAAAGGCUUAACCAUUGUCAGCCCCCUGAACUGGGCUACUUGAGUGCAGGAGA